AUAUAUAUAUAUAUAUAUCAGUAAUGAUUACUUUGCAGGUCAUAUCGACAACAGAAUUUCAAAACUACCUCUUACACACCAACAACAACUAUUAAAAAAAUUGUGGCAUUUGUGUAAGAUGAAGAAAUUAUGAUGCUAGUGCACCAAUGUGGAAACAAAGAGCUUCAAGGACACAAGACAAAUUUCACAAACUCAGGAUUUGGAUUUAGAUGUGUUUGAUGGGAGAAAACCUAAAUAUCUCUUACGAAAUCAGAAUACAAGUUUUAAAGUUGAAAUUUAUUUCAUCAAGGCAAGUUCAUAUGUGAGCAUUAAUGAGUAGAAAAUUCUUUGAUUGUCAAAGUUUUAUUACAACCUUUUCAGGUUUGGGGAGAAAGGUGAUUGCUCAAAGGAUUUCCUCAAACUUAUGGAUUACUUGAGCCUGUAAUCGCUACUGCACACACAGCACAAUUUGGAAGUAAAGUAUAUUGAAAGAAGCAAUAAUGUCCAAUCGAACAUUAUGUAGCACGGAAACGGAAAUGUGGACAUGGAGAAACGCGGAAAUAGACACGGGAAAACGGCAUUUUCAAAAAUAUAG
This 574-nucleotide unclassified non-coding RNA is filed under the name Hevea brasiliensis (rubber tree). The record is from RNAcentral. Lineage: Eukaryota; Viridiplantae; Streptophyta; Magnoliopsida; Malpighiales; Euphorbiaceae.